This 272-nucleotide ribosomal RNA is filed under the name uncultured bacterium. RNAcentral describes it as "partial 16S ribosomal RNA". It matches the Rfam family "Bacterial small subunit ribosomal RNA", at positions 335 to 599 of the family's 1533-position model. The record is from RNAcentral.
ACUCCUACGGGAGGCAGCAGUGGGGAAUAUUGCACAAUGGGCGCAAGCCUGAUGCAGCCAUGCCGCGUGUAUGAAGAAGGCCUUCGGGUUGUAAAGUACUUUCAGCAGUGAGGAAGGUGGGAGUCGUUAANGCGGCCUCAUUUUGACGUAGCNGCAGAAGAAGCNCCGGNUAACUCCGUGCCAGCAGCCGCGGUAAUACGGAGGGUGCGAGCGUUAAUCGGAAUUACUGGGCGUAAAGCGCAUGCAGGUGGUUUGUUAAGUCAGAUGUGAAG